This 85-nucleotide transfer RNA is filed under the name Felis catus (domestic cat). It matches the Rfam family "tRNA". From Rfam's summary of the family: Transfer RNA (tRNA) molecules are approximately 80 nucleotides in length. Their secondary structure includes four short double-helical elements and three loops (D, anti-codon, and T loops). Further hydrogen bonds mediate the characteristic L-shaped molecular structure. tRNAs have two regions of fundamental functional importance: the anti-codon, which is responsible for specific mRNA codon recognition, and the 3' end, to which the tRNAs corresponding amino acid is attached (by aminoacyl-tRNA synthetases). tRNAs cope with the degeneracy of the genetic code in two manners: having more than one tRNA (with a specific anti-codon) for a particular amino acid; and 'wobble' base-pairing, i.e. permitting non-standard base-pairing at the 3rd anti-codon position. Lineage: Eukaryota; Metazoa; Chordata; Mammalia; Carnivora; Felidae. The record is from Rfam by way of RNAcentral.
GCCUGGGUGGCGUAGUUGGUGAAGCGUCUGACUUCGGCUCAGGUCGUGAUCUUACGGUCCGUGGGUUCGAGCCCCACGUCGGGCU